This 1000-nucleotide ribosomal RNA is filed under the name uncultured bacterium. Its description in RNAcentral is "bacterial SSU rRNA". It matches the Rfam family "Bacterial small subunit ribosomal RNA", at positions 356 to 1376 of the family's 1533-position model. RNAcentral also lists the same sequence under 1 other name. The record is from RNAcentral.
GGGGGAUAUUGCGCAAUGGGGGCAACCCUGACGCAGCAACGCCGCGUGAAGGAUGAAGGUUUUCGGAUUGUAAACUUCUUUUAUUAAGGACGAAACUUGACGGUACUUAAUGAAUAAGCUCCGGCUAACUACGUGCCAGCAGCCGCGGUAAUACGUAGGGAGCAAGCGUUGUCCGGAUUUACUGGGUGUAAAGGGUGCGUAGGCGGCUUUGCAAGUCAGAUGUGAAAUCUAUGGGCUCAACCCAUAAACUGCAUUUGAAACUGUAGAGCUUGAGUGAAGUAGAGGCAGGCGGAAUUCCCCGUGUAGCGGUGAAAUGCGUAGAGAUGGGGAGGAACACCAGUGGCGAAGGCGGCCUGCUGGGCUUUAACUGACGCUGAGGCACGAAAGCGUGGGUAGCAAACAGGAUUAGAUACCCUGGUAGUCCACGCUGUAAACGAUGAUUACUAGGUGUGGGGGGUCUGACCCCCUCCGUGCCGGAGUUAACACAAUAAGUAAUCCACCUGGGGAGUACGGCCGCAAGGUUGAAACUCAAAGGAAUUGACGGGGGCCCGCACAAGCAGUGGAGUAUGUGGUUUAAUUCGAAGCAACGCGAAGAACCUUACCAGGUCUUGACAUCCAACUAACGAAGUAGAGAUACAUUAGGUGCCCUUCGGGGAAAGUUGAGACAGGUGGUGCAUGGUUGUCGUCAGCUCGUGUCGUGAGAUGUUGGGUUAAGUCCCGCAACGAGCGCAACCCUUGCUAUUAGUUGCUACGCAAGAGCACUCUAAUAGGACUGCCGUUGACAAAACGGAGGAAGGUGGGGACGACGUCAAAUCAUCAUGCCCCUUAUGACCUGGGCUACACACGUACUACAAUGGAUGUUAACAGAGGGAAGCAAGACAGCGAUGUGGAGCAAACCCCUAAAAACAUUCUCAGUUCAGAUUGCAGGCUGCAACCCGCCUGCAUGAAGAUGGAAUUGCUAGUAAUCGCGGAUCAGCAUGCCGCGGUGAAUACGUUCCCG